Molecule: long non-coding RNA, 8920 nt
Organism: Drosophila biarmipes
Lineage: Eukaryota; Metazoa; Arthropoda; Insecta; Diptera; Drosophilidae
Exons: 4
Source: RefSeq, a predicted model, not a curated record
CUAUUCGGCUUUGAAGCCGCUCGGGUUCCCAAAAGAACAGUUAGCCAGCAAUUCUCCGGAGAAUCGAGUAGCGAUUCUCCUGGGACACGAACUCGUGCCCGCCCACGUGUCCCACGUAGCAUUCCAGUCCCGUUUUCCACAUUAAAAUAACAUUUUCCACGCUAAUUGUGUGUUUUUUCUGUGUGCCUAGAAAAACAAACGUUCUGAGUUCCACAGCGAAAUUUUGAUUUUUCGCCAGCUUAAAGGCCAACAUUUUCGGGCAGUGUACCUGUGUGCUUGUGCUUGUGCCCUCGAGUGUCCGUGUGAUUGCCAAUGUUUUCUGCGGCCCCUCAGCUUCAAUUUCUUGGGCGAAAUCACAACGACUUCUCGGGCACCCAAAAGGCAGACGGCAGUCGGCAGAGGCGCACCAGUACUCUUUUUUAAGAGCCCCAAACCCCGGAGAACCGAGCCGAAGACCCAAAGAACCGGAGAACCGGCAGAACUCGGUGGAACCACAAAGGCAACAUGUUGCACAUGCACUCGCCAAAAGCAAUUUGCAUACAAAUGUUGCCAACGCACUUCAAAAACUGCACAAUCACAGGGUUUUUUUUUAGGUGGUGCAGCGGAAAAGGGUAAAAGCCGCUUCAUAAUUUGAUAUUAAACAUGCAGGCGUGUCUCCCUCUCGUUUUCUCUCAUGUGUGCAACUUGUAAAUUUGCAAAUUGCUAAAAUGCAUGACAGGAAGGAUAGUGGGGAGACUUUCGGGCAGCUGCGCGAAUUUGCAUUUACAUCAAGGAACCGCAGGACAGUAAAAGGAUCGCAAAAAGUUACCCAAAAAUCGGCCUCCCAGGGAAACUGAAUAAAAAAGCGAAGUCUGCCCAAUCGACUUUCAAUUGCAAAACAAACAUAAUGCACUUGGAGAAAUUGAAGGACCCAAAUGACAAAUCAAUAUAAAUUCACUAGUACUCUUGUUGGUUCUGAAUGUGACAAUUUUUAAUGUUGGUCCUUCGAGCCGCAUUAUUGCAGAAUUUUGGGUAUUAAAUUAGAAAAGGAAGAUAUAUUUUUUGAAUUAAUUUGUAACAAAAAAACAUUUUCAGAUCUAUAUUCUAUAUAUAUUUAAAUAUUUCUCCCAGUGCUCCUUGAAAGACAAAAGGCAAGCCCAAAUGAAUUUCAUUUCAAUUUUAUUUUCAAUCUGCUUUCCGUCCGUCAUAUGAUUGACAUGGUCGAUUGAACAGGCAAACGAGUGGGGGAGUGGAACGAUACACAUAUCGUUUAUUUUUGGCAGCAAGUGUUUGCCUUCGGUUUGCAGUUUUGUUAAUACUGCACUCGAAAAGGCCCGAGACACCUCCUCAGCCAGGCCAAAAUCCGAGGGCUCUUGAAAACGAGAUCUUCGGUUCUUAAUAAGCUGGCGCAACAAAUAAAAAGUACACACUUUUUAUAUCAGAUUAGUACACGGAAUUAUAUGUACUCCUAUUCAGGCUAUAUAUGUGUGGCUAUAUAAAUCAUAUUUAUGGGACAUUUCCCCUGGAGGAAAGCGAAGGAAAAAGGAAAAACAUGUGAAUGUUAAAUGGGCACGCAAUGUGCGAAAGGGAUGGCCUGAACAUGCGUCACUCUCCCCAUUUUCCCCCGGCUUUUCCUUAACGAAGUAAAACAAUAAUCAAUAAGUAAUACCCGGCCAACAACUGUGGGCGAAAGUCACCCCCGAUUUAUCCAUAUUUCCUCCCUCUCACUCAUGUGUGUGUUACAAUUUCUGUUGCCUUUCGCCUGGGUAGUUCAUAACUUUUCCCUCAUGUGUGUCUGUGGUGGUUUUCUUGGUUCUUGGCCAGGACUCCGGGCGUUUGACAGCCAUGUUUGUCCUUCGCACAUACACACACUCACACACGAUUGUAGGCGUCGCCUUGUGGCACCCCCAAAAAAUACGAAAAAAAUUAAGAAAAACGAAAAGUGUUGCGGAAAAGUGUGCCACAAACUUUUUGCCCGAAAAAACUUUGUCUGCUGACACAGAUCUGUGUGUAAAUGAGCGAGAUAAGAAGCAUUGGCAAAUUUUCCAGACUCAAACCCUCUCUUACACUCUAAUCAUACACCUGAAAAACAUUUUAAAGAAUUUUUUAAAUUCCAUAUGCUUCCAAAAAAAUAAAAAUAAAAAAGCUUGGUAAUGAAUGCCAGUUUUUUGAGUACAAUAUUAGAUUAUUUUUUAUUAUAUUAUUAUAUCAUUAUAAUAAUAUAAAACUCAUGUUUAAAAAGGUAUUUACAAUUUUAUAUUUAAAUUGGUUUUUUUAUUUGGAUCGUUGUUAACAAAUUUUCUGAUCAUUUGUUUGCUGAUAGAUAGAUAGAAUGCUGAUAGAAAUUUUUCGUUAAGUGUAACAAACCUUUUUCGGAUUGCCAAAGACUCGCCGAUAAACAAAUUUGAAAAAUUUGGUUAUACUUUGGGUUCGUUUUUAGUUUAGGCCCAGCUGAUUUAUUGUCAUAAAUUUCAUUGAAAUUCAUGAGGCUCUUGGAUGAACCUCAAAAAUGUAUAAAAAAAGCAGGGCGUGGCCUAAAUGAUGUGUGUGUGUGGCUGCGCCUACGCAAUGCCCCAACAGAUUUAUUUCAAUGGAACGAAGGGAAAUUAUAAUAUUUUCCAACUUCUAUUAUCGAAAGAGAAAUAUAAAAGAAAUAAAAAGAAAUACAAUUCUGUGGGGAGAUUAUGAAAAGAGCUGUUGAUGUAUGAAUUGUAUGGGCCUCUCAUAAAUCUUGGGGCCCUGUCAAGGUGUCCAAUACGUUUUUCUUGGGCCUCUGUGUGCUUGUGCUCAAGUGGCAGUCAUAAAUUUGAAAUUUAUGUUCAUCUCUCGUUUGGAUUUCGUAGUUUUGUUCUCCUCCCAUUUACCAAUUUUCGGUUUUGGUCAAGAGAACCUGCCACAAAGCAAAGUUCUUUCUUCGCUUGUUAAUUAAAUGCGAUUGCAUCAUCGCAUCUUUCAGCUGUCCAUCGCUAUGGUCACAAUUGAGGUUGAAAUAAUAGUAGUUCUCGAAGAGGGUUUCAAAAAAACUAAUAAAAAAAAGUUUGGUAUAGGAAGUACAUUUUUACGAUACAUAAUUUAAAAUAUGUAAAGAGCCCAUUAGAGAUAAUGAAAUAUGGAUUGUACGGAACUGUUUUUAAAAAACACCCCUAGGUUUUCAACCCCAGCUGUCCGUAUCUCUAUCCCAUUUUAUCAAGCUAUGACUGGACAGAAAUUGUCGCUAAUCGCUGCUCAUGUACCUCAAGACAUGCCGCAUUUGUCUUUGUCUCUAUUUUUUCGGCUUUGACACAUUUUUCUUAUGAAUUUUCUGUAUUUUUCCCCACUCACUAAUUUUUCGUGGCGUGUUUGUUCUGACCGCCAAAAUUGCUUGUCCAACAUUUGUUGGACAUGUUUUUUUACUUUGGCUCGGUUUUUUGGGAACACACGAACUACACGCAAGUGCGGAAGAUUUUUAGCCAGAUCCGUUAAGCAUCAAAAUCAACUCUUUCGAGCUCAUUAAACGGCCAGGGAAAAAAGUGGAAUAAAGCCAAAAGUUGACCUUCAAAAACGCAACGCAACCAAGCGAAAAUGGCAAAAAAUAAAAAAAGACAAAAUAAAAAUACAUAAUACGAGAAAUAACAAAAGUCAGAGCUGCUUGGAAACAGGUUGUUGUUUCGCUCUCUCUAUUGUUAACAUUUUAUUACGCUUUUUUCAAGCGGAAAGCAACAAAAGCCCCCGAAACUCUUGCAUUUUUACGAUUAUUUACGAUCGAAAUUCAUUUCCCUGGCGAUUUUUGACCUUGCAGUUGUUGCACUUAACACGUGCCAGAAAUUGAUAAUGCAAAAGCGCGUUUAAGGUGUUAAUCACGCUGCCGAGCUAUAAAAAACAUGUGAAAAGGCAGAUGUAGCCAGCUAAAAAAAUCAGCCCAAAAAGGCGCCAAAAAUAUUUCAACGACGAAGAAAAAAAAAAACGAACUAAAAACAUUUUUUAUUAAAAAAAAUCGAAUUGUAUACACCCUUACUAUCUUAACCAAAAAAUUUAACUAAUAUAUAACUAAAUAUAUCGCUUUUCAAAAAGAUUAAAAAAUUAAAAAAGAUUAAAAAAGAUAUAGUCAUCUGAAGAAUAGGUAUUUGUCAAAUAAAUUUAACAUUUUAUUUAAACUUCAUAUACUUUAAAUUCAAUCUUCAAAAACAACCUUUUUUGAGCCACUUAUUGGGCCUAAAACGUAAGCUAGAAAAUGUAUCUUACAGAUCGUUGUGCUCUUCUGUUGAUAUAAAGAUACAUUACCCCGUAUACCCCAUAUAGGAAGUAUGUAUUCUAAUCAUAAAUGGACGUUUGCCGCGAUGACGAAGAGUUUGCCUAUUGUAGAUCUUUAUUUGCCAUGGCUUUUGUUGCUUUUGUUGUGGGCACUUCAAAGUCGUGUGCGAGUUGUUCAUGUUGUUGUUGUUGGAUAUAGCUUGUUUACUUUUACGGUAAAUAAGAAAAACAACAAAAACGACAACGAGGACUACAAAAAAAGCGCGAGCCCGUCGCGCGUAUCUAGAUAAAUAUCUGUGAAAAUACACUUGAGGCCAAGCUACUGUACAUACGCACGGCGACUGCGACGCCGGCAGCGACGCCUACUGCGAAAGGCAUAGGGACAGUGGGUGGCAAAAAAAUAGUGAGCAAUUUAGAAAUUUAUAAAAAAGUUAUUUUUUUAAUUUUAUAAAAGUUGUUAUUGCUGAUUUGUCUAAUUGGCUCAAUAAUAGUGUUAUUGGCAAUGGUAUAGAACCUAAACUCACAUUUAUAAAUAAAAAAAGUUUAAUCAUUUCACUUGAAGUCUUAAACGAAUUUAUUUUUUGGUCAGAGGAAAAACAGAUUUCUUAUAAAAGAACUCAAUUUAUAUAAAAACGGUGCUACUAUUUAAAACACUGCAGAAAAAAUUACCCGGUACAAAAACAUGCUUUUCUAAUUUUUCAAUAAAAAAAAUGCAUUAAAAUUAUUAAAUUAUUUUUGAAUACCACAUUUUUUUAAUGCAUUUUUUUUAUUGAAAAAUUAGAAAAGCAUUUUUGCAAAGCAAUAAAAUACUACUAUCAAUUUUAAAAUAGUCUGCCAUUUAGUCUCAAAAACCUCGUGGAAGCUCUCAGUAAUUUGCCCUCUGCUGUUAUUUUUGUUGCUGGUUCUCCAGCGAAGGCAACGACCAACAACAACAACAAAGAGGCAGCAACAACAAGCGAUGACGACGCCAAGCAAAAACAAUCGUAACAGAUCAUCGAACUCCGCGGCUUUGUUGUUGUUGGCUGCUGGCUGCCGCUGGCCUUGACUUGCCCCUUAAAACACACAUUUUUCUCCGGUGUAUGCCUUUUCUGGCCCAAAACUUUUUAAUUGUUUCAUUAAUUAAAAGACGCUUUUUUUCCUAUUAACUUUUUUGUUAUUUUAUUCCUGCCUUUUUGGUGAUAUUAAUUGAGUUGAAAACGCGUGCGGCGCCCACGCAGCAGGCAGCGACGCCGGCGUCGGCAGAGCGGCUUUCACCGCUGCUUGCGUCAUGUUGGGCUACAAAGCGGCACGGCUACAAGGCGGCAGAAAUAUGCAUUGCUGCCGCGGUGUGUGUGCGAUGCAGCCGCCACAAGUGGCAAUCCACCACGGCGGAAAACCACCACCCACCAAAGAAACCCACCACGGCAGCGACGUCGACAGCGACCAACCACGAAACCGCGUGCUUUUCUGUUUUCAGCUUGCUGUUUUAGUCGCCCAACGAUUUUCAAAUACGAAGGUUGGAAAACGCGGACGAGUCGCAAUCGAUUUUCUCUCCCUAGUAAAAAUAACGGCUACGAAAAUACGAAAUUUAUCAGAACAACUUCUUCCUAAAUUAUUAAAAACCUCUAGUUAUUUGUUAAAAUCCACGAUAAACCGCGUUUUUUGUGGCGUUUCUAACAGAAAAAAACAAUCUUAUAAAUACGAAAAAAAAACUGGAAUUACUUGAUCGGUCAGAUACACUCGUUUGUGUGUGUGUGUGCUGCACUUUUAGCGCUGCUUACGUGCACAAGUGAACGUCGACGCGUUUUCUAAUCUGGCGAUUAUCGAUUGAUAGCGAUAAGCCGCAGUCGGCGUCGACGCAGGCAGCGGCUGCAACACUCACACCGAGGCAAAAAAUACAAGUACACUUGAAAAAAACACGUAGACCUAGAAAGCACUCCAUAGCUGCGCGCGACUUUAACCGAAGUUUCUGCGCGCGUUUAAAGUCGCGCGAUCAAAACCCUCCGCUCGGCUGCAGUCGACGUCGCUGCCGGCCAUCUCUGCCGCGGCCGCAGCCGCUGCCUCUGCCUGCGUCGGCGUCGAACAUCGUCGCAUUUCGAGUUAUUUUCUGCGCGACUUCGCUGCGUUUUUUUCAGUUGGGUUUCGGAGCUCCAAAGUCGCGCAUCAAACGCUCGCAAACCGCUUCGUGUUUUCGCAUUCGCGUGACUUGUCAAAAAAUUCGUAAAAUAAAAAGCAUAUUAAGUGUUGAAGAAGAAAAAAUAAAUCAAUGGAAAUACCUAACGGAUAAAUACAGCUUAAAUGGCAUUUAAAAACAAAAAUAAAACAGAAAACCCAACGAAUGUUUCUAAUCAUGAAGUUGGAACGGGGAAAAAAAAUAAUCAAGAUUAAGCGGAAAGUAAAACCAAAAUAAAAAUGUCUUCAAAAAAUAUAAAAAAUAUUUUCAAUCAAAUAAAUUAAGGGGUUAAACAUAAAAAAUGUAGAAAUUUCUGUCUUUAAAAUGCGGACAAAGCUUAAUAAUCUCACUUUUUAAACUUGCAUAGAAAUUGAAAAGAAGUCAAGAUAAAAUACUUACGGAAGUUUCUAAUGAAAUUAAUAGAAAAUAAACUUCCUUCUUAAAAAAUAUCUAUAAACAAAAGCCGCUGUUUUGUUUUAAGAAAAAGUCUUCAAAGUUAAUUGGCAUCCUGCUCAGCAAGAAAACAAACCAUAUUUCCUCUCAUAAAAAUUUUAGAAAUAAACAAAUUACUUAACUUAUCUAAAAGAAAACUUUGAGCGGAAGAGCUGUUCAUCCUGUACAAGUUCCCUAUUAAAAGCCGAAGAAAUCCCAAAACUUUCCACUAAAUUCAUAUUUUGCAUAAAGAAGCUAUUACAUUUCUAACUAAUAAUAAAACCCCCACACACACAAUUCCAUAUUAUUAAUAAUGAUCUGAAAAUUAUUUAAAUUCAAUCAAACAAAAAGUUGAUCCAGCAAAAAACACCGAACCCUCGAUAAAAACAACACUGAAAAAGCUGCCAAGCGAGAAACGACGGAGGACCACACCAUAUAUAACCAUAUAUAACCGUCGUAGUCGUCAUCAUCAUCAAGCUAGAAAUUCCCCCAGCACAAAUCCCAUGAAGAGAAUCCCAUCAGCAGAAUAACAACAACUGAAAUACUACAGAAAAAAGAGUUGGAAUUUUUGUAAGCUGGUAUGUGAGUUGCUGUUCGCCUCUUUACGGUUCGAGUUUUGUGAAAAAGAAAAAGGGAAACGCUGCCGAGAUAUUUUUUACCUGGUUUUUGCCAUCAGCGAGGUAUAGAGUUCCUACGUUCAUUAUAAACUCGUAGGAACUUCAUACCGUGCUCUUGGAAGACCAAAAAACAACAAAGUAAAUGCAAAAAUCCCAAAAAGUAAGGCGAAAACAAACAAAAAGUGCGUUUUAAAACGAUGAGAAAACGCUGGCGAAACGAAAAGGAAGUUGCAAACGAUGGGAAAGUAAGAGUUACUAACUUUGAUCAUGAUUAUGUUGCUCGAAAUGCAGUAGUGAGUCAAGCCAAAUGUAUUAUAAUAAUUAAAUGAAGGAGCCAAAUCAAAAGUUUCCCAUCAGAAUGCUACUUUUCACUGUAGAGAGAGUGCACUUUUGUUUGGUUGGUAAGAAAUAAUUAUUGUAUAACAAUGUUUUUGAACAUCCCAAUGAACAUCAGGUUAUUGGGAGAUUAAAUGUUUCAGGGUAUUUUAAUAUAACAAUAAUAAUAAAUUCACUGAAAGGUUUUUAAGCCAAAUAAGUUUUCCUCUCCUGAGGAACGCGGCUAAAACCGCUUGUAAAACGCGCGCGAGUCGCUAGCGACUUCUGAUCCAAUUGGAAAGGUUUUCUGAAAAAAGAACCUUAUAAAUCUACGAAAUUUGUUAACUCACUUUAAAAUAAAAUCUAAAAAUGGCAAAAGCAACAGAAGCUGUUUAGGGUUUGGAAACACCGCACUCGAUAAGAUAUGGAAAAGCGAUCCCGAAUGACUAAUGCCAAGUAAAGGGCGAUUGAGGUGCGGCUGAGCCGAGGCACUUGAAAGUACUUGUCAUAAAUUAACAAGCAUUAUUUCUAAUUUCAAUUAAUUUCCAAGUACAGAUAACGCUGUCCCGCUCCACAUAUGAGUAGACCCCUCUCUUUCACCGGCUAAAUGGUUUCCACUUUGGAUUCGCUAAUUGCUAAAGUCGUCUCCCGGCUAAUGGAAAUUGUUUGUUGUUGAUUGGCUAAGACGGGGAGAAUUGCUUGAUUGUACUUUGAGAGGUGAAUGAAGGAGAAGAUUGCAGCUGCAUUUGGAGGGGUUACAUAGGGUUGCGAAAAAUCAUUAAAAACGCAAGUUAAUUUAAUUUCAGCUCAUAAAUCAAAACUGUGCCGCGCAAAAUGUUUGCUUUUGACGCGCCGUUUUUGUCGCCAGACUGCCGACAUCGCUGGACACCGGUCAGUGGACAGUGGACACUGGCCAUUGGACAACUGGAACGGACAUGCAGGACAGGGCAGCAGCUGGAGAAACAGGAGGACCAGGAGGCCGAGGAGCUGGAGUCGGCCAAGUCCACUUCAAAGCCGCAAUUGCCAGGGGAAUAAUAAUGGGACAAUUUUCAAGCUCGCUAAGGAAAAGUUUGGAAAAUAUUAUCUUUUUUAAUUAACAAAUAUAUCUAAAAGGUUAACUACUAACUAGCUUUACUUUGGAUAUUGAAAGCAUAAAGUCUAUUUUUUUAAUUAAUGUUUUUUUGGUUAGGAUUAC